RNAcentral lists this ribosomal RNA (114 nucleotides) under Acanthosepion pharaonis. Lineage: Eukaryota; Metazoa; Mollusca; Cephalopoda; Sepiida; Sepiidae. The record is from RNAcentral.
CGGUCAAAUCACGCUGAAAACACCGGUUCUCGUUCGAUCACCGAAGUUAAGCAUCGUAGAGCCAGGUCAGUACUUUAGAUGGGGGGACCGCUUGGGAACACCUGGUACUGUAAG